This 506-nucleotide ribosomal RNA is filed under the name uncultured bacterium. Its description in RNAcentral is "partial 16S ribosomal RNA". It matches the Rfam family "Bacterial small subunit ribosomal RNA", at positions 29 to 523 of the family's 1533-position model. The record is from RNAcentral.
AUUGAACGCUGGCGGUAUGCUUAACACAUGCAAGUCGAACGGCAGCAUGGUCUAGCUUGCUAGACUGAUGGCGAGUGGCGGACGGGUGAGUAACGCGUAGGAAUAUGCCUUGAAGAGUGGGACAACUUGGGGAAACUCAAGCUAAUACCGCAUGUACUCGAGAGCGUAAAGCUGGGGACCUUUAGGCCUGGCGCUUUAAGAUUAGCCUGCGUUCGAUUAGCUAGUUGGUAGGGUAAAGGCAUAACAAGGCGACGAUCGGUAGAUGGGCGGAGAGGAUGAUCAGCCACACUGGAACUGAGAGACGGGGCAGACUCCUAAGGGAGGCAGCAGUGGGGAAUAUUGGACAAUGGGGGGAACCCUGAUCCAGGAAUGCCGCGUGUGGGAAGAAGGCCUGAGGGUUGUAAAGCACGUUCAGUGGGGAGGAGGUUUGGAAGGUUAAGAGCUAUUCAAAUGGACGUUACCCACAGAAGAAGCACCGGCUAACUCCGUGCCAGCCGCCGCCGUAA